CCUACGGGUGGCAGCAGUGGGGAAUAUUGGACAAUGGGGGGAACCCUGAUCCAGCCAUGCCGCGUGUGUGAAGAAGGCCCUCGGGUUGUAAAGCACUUUCAGUGAGGAAGAACGCCUGGUGGUUAAUACCCAUCAGGAAAGACAUCACUCACAGAAGAAGCACCGGCUAACUCCGUGCCAGCAGCCGCGGUAAUACGGAGGGCGCGAGCGUUAAUCGGAAUUACUGGGCGUAAAGCGCGCGUAGGUGGCUUGAUAAGCCGGUUGUGAAAGCCCCGGGCUCAACCUGGGAACGGCAUCCGGAACUGUCAAGCUAGAGUGCAGGAGAGGAAGGUAGAAUUCCCGGUGUAGCGGUGAAAUGCGUAGAGAUCGGGAGGAAUACCAGUGGCGAAGGCGGCCUUCUGGACUGACACUGACACUGAGGUGCGAAAGCGUGGGUAGCAAACAGGAUUAGAUACCCCGGUAGUC
Molecule: ribosomal RNA, 465 nt
Filed under: Vreelandella stevensii
Lineage: Bacteria; Pseudomonadati; Pseudomonadota; Gammaproteobacteria; Oceanospirillales; Halomonadaceae
Description: partial 16S ribosomal RNA
Rfam family: Bacterial small subunit ribosomal RNA
Source: RNAcentral